This 429-nucleotide ribosomal RNA is filed under the name Bacteroidota bacterium. Its description in RNAcentral is "Bacteroidetes bacterium partial 16S ribosomal RNA". It matches the Rfam family "Bacterial small subunit ribosomal RNA", at positions 355 to 776 of the family's 1533-position model. The record is from RNAcentral. Lineage: Bacteria; Pseudomonadati; Bacteroidota.
UAGGGAAUCUUCCGCAAUGGGCGAAAGCCUGACGGAGCAACGCCGCGUGAGUGAUGAAGGUCUUCGGAUCGUAAAACUCUGUUAUUAGGGAAGAACAAAUGUGUAAGUAACUAUGCACGUCUUGACGGUACCUAAUCAGAAAGCCACGGCUAACUACGUGCCAGCAGCCGCGGUAAUACGUAGGUGGCAAGCGUUAUCCGGAAUUAUUGGGCGUAAAGCGCGCGUAGGCGGUUUUUUAAGUCUGAUGUGAAAGCCCACGGCUCAACCGUGGAGGGUCAUUGGAAACUGGAAAACUUGAGUGCAGAAGAGGAAAGUGGAAUUCCAUGUGUAGCGGUGAAAUGCGCAGAGAUAUGGAGGAACACCAGUGGCGAAGGCGACUUUCUGGUCUGUAACUGACGCGGAUGUGAGAAAGCGUGGGAAUCAAACAGG